Molecule: unclassified non-coding RNA, 308 nt
Filed under: uncultured Coniochaetales
Lineage: Eukaryota; Fungi; Ascomycota; Sordariomycetes; Coniochaetales
Description: sequence contains ITS1
Rfam family: 5.8S ribosomal RNA (bases 1-105)
Source: RNAcentral
GAAAUGCGAUAAGUAAUGUGAAUUGCAGAAUUCAGUGAAUCAUCGAAUCUUUGAACGCACAUUGCGCCCGCUAGUACUCUAGCGGGCAUGCCUGUUCGAGCGUCAUUUCAACCCUCAGGCCCAGCCUGGUGUUGGGGCCCCACGGCCGCCGUGGGCCCCGAAAUGGAGUGGCGGGCUCGCCUCAGCUCCGAGCGUAGUAGAACUCUAUUCUCGCUAGGGACGCUGGGCGGCGCUCCGGCCGUUAAUCCUCUCUAUGAGUAUUACCAAAGGUUGACCUCGGAUCAGGUAGGAAUACCCGCUGAACUUAA